UCCCUCCUGGAGCUCAGAGAGCCCGGCACAGGGCCAGCCCCUUCCAUGCCAGGGCCCUGUGGACUUCCCCAUCCGGGAGCAGCAGCCGCUGGAGACCCUUGGCCCAAACUUAACCCUUCCCUCUGGGCAUCGAGCAUCCCCUUCCCUCUGCCCUUGGGCUGCCGGGCCAGAGGUGGAGCAGGUCUGCAGCAGGCAGUAUUUCUAGAGGAAGCAUUUUUUUCAAAGAAGAUUUAAAGAGAGAAUGAGAGUCCAGGACAGCUUCUGCCAAGCUCAUCUCAUCCCAAAGCUCAAAGCACUGCCCGAGGCAGCAGAGGAAGUGCAGGGCCGAGGCCUUCCCAGCCUUCUAUCUGCAGCCGAACAGGGACCCAGGAGCAGCCGUGCUCAGCUCGGGCUGCACACAGCACCAGCUGAGGACGUGAACAGCUGCUGGGACAGCAAUGCCCCGAUCUUAGGGGUCGGGUCGGCUUCAC
This is a long non-coding RNA of Fukomys damarensis (Damara mole-rat), 470 nucleotides long. RefSeq lists it as uncharacterized. The transcript is spliced from 3 exons. NCBI's taxonomy places the organism in Eukaryota, Metazoa, Chordata, Mammalia, Rodentia, Bathyergidae. The record is from RefSeq and is a predicted model, not a curated record.